Molecule: ribosomal RNA, 253 nt
Filed under: uncultured bacterium
Lineage: Bacteria
Description: partial 16S ribosomal RNA
Rfam family: Bacterial small subunit ribosomal RNA
Source: RNAcentral
UACGGGGGGGGCAAGCGUUGUUCGGAAUUACUGGGCGUAAAGGGCGUGUAGGCGGCCAACUAAGUCCGACGUGAAAUCCCCAGGCUUAACCUGGGAACUGCGUCGGAUACUGGAUGGCUUGAAUUCGGGAGAGGGAUGCAGAAUUCCAGGUGUAGCGGUGAAAUGCGUAGAUAUCAAGAGGAACACCUGAGGUGAAGACGGGUUGCUGGGCUGACACUGACGCUGAGGCGCGAAAGCCAGGGGAGCAAACGGG